CGGUGAAAUGCAUAGAUAUCGCGCAGAACUCCGAUUGCGAAGGCAGCGUACCGGCGCCAGACUGACGCUGAGGCACGAAAGCGUGGGGAUCGAACAGGAUUAGAUACCCUGGUAGUCCACGCAGUAAACGAUGAAUGCUGGUUGUCCGGGUCGAAUGAGACCUGGGCGGCGAAGCGAAAGCGAUAAGCAUUCCACCUGGGGAGUACGCCGGCAACGGUGAAACUCAAAGGAAUUGACGGGGGCCCGCACAAGCGGAGGAACAUGUGGUUUAAUUCGAUGAUACGCGAGGAACCUUACCCGGGCUCAAACGGGAGUGGAAUGGACCAGAGACGGUUCAGCCUACGGGCCGCUUCCGAGGUGCUGCAUGGUUGUCGUCAGCUCGUGCCGUGAGGUGUCGGCUUAAGUGCCAUAACGAGCGCAACCCCCGCCGGCAGUUGCUACGGGCAAUGCCGAGGACUCUGGCGGGACUGCCAGCGCAAGCUGCGAGGAAGGCGGGGAUGACGUCAAAUCAGCACGGCCCUUACGUCCGGGGCGACACACGUGUUACAAUGGCGGGGACAGAGGGAUGCCACCUGGCGACAGGGAGCGAAGCCCCAAACCCCGCCCCAGUUCGGAUCGGAGUCUGCAACCCGACUCCGUGAAGCUGGAUUCGCUAGUAAUCGCGCAUCAGCCAUGGCGCGGUGAAUACGUUCCCGGGCCUUGUACACACCGCCCGUCAAGCCAUGGGAGCCGGGGGCGCCUGAAGGACGUGACCGCGAGGAGCGUCCUAAGGCGAAACCGGUGACUGGGGCUAAGUCGUAACAAGGUAGCCGUACCGGAAGGUGCGGCUGGAACACCUCCUUU
This 843-nucleotide ribosomal RNA is filed under the name Muribaculaceae bacterium. Its description in RNAcentral is "bacterial SSU rRNA". It matches the Rfam family "Bacterial small subunit ribosomal RNA", at positions 679 to 1533 of the family's 1533-position model. Lineage: Bacteria; Pseudomonadati; Bacteroidota; Bacteroidia; Bacteroidales; Muribaculaceae. The record is from RNAcentral.